GACGAACGCUGGCGGCGUGCUUAACACAUGCAAGUCGAGCGGAAAGGCCUGCUUUCCCUUGUGGAUUGCGGGUACUCGAGUGGCGAACGGGUGAGUAACACGUGAGUGAUCUGCCCCCAACUUGGGUAUAAGCCUGGGAAACUGGGUCUAAUUCCCGAUAGGACUGCAGGGUGGUGCCUGUGGUGGAAAACGAUUUUCUAGUGGUUGGGGAUGAGCUCGCGGCCUAUCAGCUUGUUGGUGGGGUAAUGGCCUACCAAGGCGGCGACGGGUAGCCGGCCUGAGAGGGUGGACGGCCACAUUGGGACUGAGAUACGGCCCAGACUCCGACGGGAGGCAGCAGUGGGGAAUAUUGCACAAUGGGCGGAAGCCUGAGGCAGCGACGCCGCGUGGGGGAUGACGGCCUUCGGGUUGUAAACUCCUUUCGACCGCGAGGAAGCCACCUGGUUGGAAGGGUGGUGACGGUAGUGGUAGAAGAAGCACCGGCUAACUACGUG
RNAcentral lists this ribosomal RNA (494 nucleotides) under uncultured bacterium. Its description in RNAcentral is "partial 16S ribosomal RNA". It matches the Rfam family "Bacterial small subunit ribosomal RNA", at positions 28 to 507 of the family's 1533-position model. The record is from RNAcentral.